Pezoporus occidentalis (night parrot) is the source of this 2815-nucleotide long non-coding RNA. RefSeq lists it as uncharacterized. The record is from RefSeq and is a predicted model, not a curated record. The transcript has 4 exons. NCBI's taxonomy places the organism in Eukaryota, Metazoa, Chordata, Aves, Psittaciformes, Psittacidae.
UGUCUGCUCUGGAGGAAGUGAUGCUUGCUUGUAACACUGCUGCUACAUGAAUUUAACAUAGUUGGUUACAGACCCACCCGUUUAUCUCUGUUGAGGAGCUGGGAGGAGUGUAGGAGCCAUGAGGACACUUACCCAGCUGUGCCUCAUGGACACAUACCACAAUGCUGGAUAACCACAGCUGGUGGUAGGAACCCCCAGGCACAAAGCAUUUGGUAAGGCUGUUCCUCCAUACUGACAGGCCAGCAUGGAGGCCACAAAAUCCCCUCCUAGGUCACCCCCUAGCAGUAGAAGGCUUCAGGACAGUCAGAGGAGAAAAAUGCAGUUGCCUAUUACCAAAUUUUUUGGCCAAGCACCCUCCAAGUGUUGGGGUUUUGUUUCUUUUGGGGCUUUAGGUUGAAGGUGUACGUAAUUUCAUUCCAUCCUCUUACCUUUCCAGUUUAAUUUGACUGCUGUGCAAGGCAGAAAGCAGUUUUCCUUCAAUAUCACAUGAGCUCUUAAGUUCUAAAGUCGUUGAGUUACUGUUGCUCACCAAAAAUGAAAGGGAUCUGUUCAGGUUUGCAACAGAGGGAAAGCUGCUACUGAAACUACUGCUUCAUGAGCCAAGCAGUGAGCUUGCUUCCUGCAGGAAGGAGGAGACCUCUCAUUAUCUGGGCUCUGGGAGCCAGUCUGUUAGAGCCGUCUCCUUUUCCUGCUCCCCAAGGAUAGACGGAGGCUUUUGAGGUAGACAGAGCAGCAAUGUGCAUGUUCCCCAGGCUUAUCAACCACUAUCAGCUGGGAUCUGCUGUUUGCUCCAGACUCCACCUUCGCUUGGAAAGGGCUUGCAGUUCCAUGAGGUAAUUCUUCCUCCCAGCGCUGUGGCUUGUUACCACGACCAUGUGCUCCUACCAUAAGGCAGGACUGAAAAAAAGCGUUUCCCCUGUAUCCAUGUGCCAGAACUUCCUCUUUCUGCACCCUACUGCCGUGCUCCGCGUGUUUUCGGUCCUGCCAUCCCAAGGGCGGGCGGUCAGGGAGGGUGAAACACCACUCGCCGAGCAGAUCCGUCGUUCUCCCACGCCCCGAGCUGCCUGACCAACCGUCCCGCUUGGGCCUGCCCGGACACCAGGGCCCGCCUGCGCUGAGCCACCGCCGGUUGUGAGUUAUCGUAGUGGAGGAAACCCCAUUUUAGUUUUGUAAACACAGCACUGCACCAGCUACUAAGAAGAAUAACUGUUACAGCUGAACCCAGGACAGUUUGGCAAAAUGAAGGUGAAAAAAGAAGCAGUGGAGAUAGAGCACACCACAGGCAUGCCUGGACAUUCUGAACAGCUCAUCAUUGAAGAGGCAGCUAACUAAACUGUAAGCUCAAAGUGAAAACCAUGUCAGUGCUCUGGGAUGAACACCUCUUCUCCUUUUUUCACCCUCCUGACGUCCCUAGUUUAGCUGGGUUUAAAUAAAUGGAGAAACACAGUGUGUGCAGUGCAUACUUUUGGGUGCACACUAAUGGUGUGUAUACAUUGAAAUGCUAAUAUAAAGACAAGCAGCAUCUGAAAAGCACAUAAGCCUAAUUGAUUCCAGGCACAACUGGCCUGGAUUUUGUUUCCUCUUAUUCCAACUUUCUGACCUUGUAAAAAUUAUCUUGAUUGUGUUAUACUAAAACAAGGCCAUGAUCUUGCAAAAACUGCCAUGUGUGCUAGUGCUGAGCAGUACCCAGUGAAGCACAGUGCGUGGAACAAAUGUCAACAGCGUUAGGCCCCAAGUUCGUUUGUUUGUUUUCCUUUGCUUAUAUCUAAUCAUGGUGAAGCAAUAGUCUCACUUCUGCUAAAAGCUGAAUCUGAGGUUUCAUUGUUAAAGGAGGUGAAAAACGUGUAGUAAAACUUGCGAUUUGAAGUGAAUCAUAAUAGGUUUUAAGUUCUUACAGCAGUUUAAGCUGCUGGGAUUUUAUGGCUUUUAGGCAAGGGGGAAAAACAGUGAGGGUUUAAAAAUAUCCAUUGCCUUUAAUUUUUUCAGCACUUUAGUGUGUGUGUGUCUGUGUGUGUAGUGGUAUCUUUGUUUUUCAGAAGAUUGCUUCUAGGGAUUGGUAGGAAAGCUGAAGGACUUACUGGCUUUGAUGAUAACCCUCACGAUACCGUUGUGCUUUUGUAUAAACAUGCGAAAAAAAAAAAAAGGCCUAGGACAGCCUUAAGUGUUGGAUAUGAUGCUGGUAUGGGCACUGGAGAACUUGAUCAAGAAUAAACUAUGCAUUUGUGCCUUUGUCAGCGAAGCUCCCAUGGGGCAAUCCUCGUAAGCACUGGUAGCAAGGAGGCUUAUAAAAAGCAGCUCCAGGUGGAAGUGGGUCUUUUCCUGCUCCUCGCUCUAUCCUGCUGCAAUUCCCAUUCAUCCAGGCCCGGAGAACUGCCUGCCUUUCAGACUGAGCUGCACAUAUAAGAGAGUUGUGGUCACUUGAACCACGUAUUAGACUAUCUACCUUUACUUAUGUUGAUUCAUUGAUGUUCUGGGGAGUUUCCUUGCUUACGGUGUAGGACGUCAACUUAACAGUGGUCAUUCAACAGCAAAUGUAACUUGAAAAAAUAAAGCCUGCCUCUAAAGAAAAUGAGCAGCUUUGAUGCAUCUUUAAACUUGGUUUCAAAGAAGUUGGUGUUAAUACAACUGCCAUCAUGUUGAGGCUUUUUAGCUUCCCUGUCAGCAUUUCAUAUUUCCUUACAGAAUGCAGAGUGAAUGUGGUGUGUAGUGUAUUAUUUAUUACAUAAUAAACCUGACAGCAUGUGCAGUGUUCUGUCUCAAAAGCCAUGUUGGAAACCUACUGCACCACAGAUUAAACAGUGAAUAUUAGUGCUAA